CAAAAGACAUAUCUGGCUUCAAGACUAAACUUGGUCGCAUAUAGGGCAGAGCGAUGGAAUGCCAGGAGAAAACUCUCUGGUGGUAGGUGUCUCCAGAGCAACCAGAAGCUAGACACAAGAGGUGAUUCUCCAGAGGUUUCUAGCUCACUUUCACAGACCCAAGAGGAGUGAAUUACACAAUCAACUGCCACCCCAGGCAUCCGCCUACACCAGUUAUGUUACAACAUAAGGGCCGGACUCUGCUUGCAGUCACUGCCAGGUAUAGUGCUGGCGACCGUGAAAAAUCCCAGUGAGACAAUGCUUACUACUCGAAGCGAUCUCAGUGGAGUCGACAAGACCACUCAUUAGCAUCAGCGCUUGUGCAACUCGUGCUAAGAGAUUGUGAGUCUAUGCCACCGUCUAGGGGCUGGUCCAUGGAAGAAGUUUUUGAAACUGCUAUAGCUGCCCGCUAAGGGGCUUAAAACCUAGUGCUCUGCAUGGUUGAGCCCCACUGACCAGCAUAAAUGGAAGAGACUUUUGCUUUUACUUUCUUUUUUAAUAUAUUAAAAAAUAUAUAAAAGCUGAGAUUGUCAUAAAAUAACAAAACUCCAGGAUCUGGGGUGUUUAGAAAAAAACCACUCCUGGUAUUGUGAGACUUGUAAAUCAUGAGACAUGGCACCAAGAUCCCAUUAGAACACAGUCAGACAUUUUAGUGUAGGCUGAGUAUAAUUGCUUCCCUGUGACUGGAUUCAAGCCUUGCGCUGUCCAAGGAUAGCAUUCUGUUACAAGGACGUGGCUAAAUCCUGUCUACAAUAACACUUUAGUCCUGUGUUGAAGCUGGGUUUCCUGGCCCUGUGAUGGCUGUUGCCCAGAUAGGAUUUAAAUCCUUGCAAUCAGAUCUGUGUGGCUGGAUUCCCUCACCAGCACAGGUUUCUGCUGAAAUCAAUGAGCUCUGUAUUGGCCCAGGGAGCAGCCCACGUGGGUGAGAUUGCAGAAAUAGGACUUAAACCACUGACCUCCCUUCCAAAGAAAGAUUUUCACCUGCAUAUACUGAAGGGCAGGAGGGGUUUCCAAGACACAAGCAAGCAACACCCACACACAUCGUGUGGUAUAGAAAUUAAUACAAACAGCAGCAGCUCUGAGUUAAGUCCAGACACAGAGAGAGAAAGAAGGGUGCUGAUUCCUGCAUGUCACAUGGACACACACAAUACUUCUGACUGCUUUAUGGGUUAAUCAAAGUCUUCAGCCCCCAGCCCUUCCAGAGACUCCACAAGGGCAAUUAAUCACAAUAAUUAAUGUUACAUGGAUGCCAGAGCCCACUAACAAUCAGGAAGAGAAGAAAGCUUUCCCUAACUUCUAAUAUGUUACCUUUUACUAGCUCCCUCAGAACAGAUCGUCUCCCACCAACAAUAAAAAAAAUCAGAUGUGGAUUCAAGGCCAUAUCAUGUCCUUCAUCAUCUUCCCAGCUGGAGAAGAAACAGCCUUUUGUACAUCUCUAUUUGCUUUGUGCAUUGCAUUUCAGUUACCCAACCAAAAAUAAAGAGUGCGUGGGGGGGGGGGGCGCGAGGAAUAAGGAUUAAGACAUAAAACUUUACUGGUUAAUUUAAAAUUAUGCUUUUAAACAAAACCCUCUGGAUUGGCAACCAUGUAUUUCAAGAUGUUAAAAGAUGGAAGAACACAAGAAGCACAUGGAGGAAUAAACAACCUCAUCUCAGAGUGUAUAUUUUGUCUUAAUUAUGUCACCGAGAAGGUGUUAAUAUACAACGUACAGUGUAUUAAUCACCCCUCUAACUUCCAAAUGCGAAAUGCUUCAUUAACACUCAUGUUGUUAUCAAUUAGUUUGCUGCAUUGGAAGGAAGGGAGGAAAGGCAGCUUUUCUCAUGAAAGUGCACUGUGUUUUUGAAAGUCUCAGGAUCAGAAAAACCAGUCUGGGUGAAACUCUUGCCCGUCUACCACAUACAGAGACCUGCUGCUGCUGAGAUGCAGAACAAUGUUGAAUUGACGUGGCUAUAUGACAUGUUCUGUGGUGCCCGGGAUAGACUACGGGUAACUUUUUCUAAAGCACCUAAAAUGACUUUGGAGUCUAAAUCCUAUUGUCAAAAGUGACUCAGACACUUAGGACCAGAUUUUCAAAAGGAUUCCGGUAUCUAAAGAUA
This is a long non-coding RNA of Gopherus evgoodei (Goodes thornscrub tortoise), 2135 nucleotides long. RefSeq lists it as uncharacterized. The transcript is spliced from 3 exons. The record is from RefSeq and is a predicted model, not a curated record. NCBI's taxonomy places the organism in Eukaryota, Metazoa, Chordata, Testudines, Testudinidae.